CCUCCGGGCAUCCCGGGCGCGGGGGAGCCGCGCGGCACGCCGGGAGCUGUAGUCCUCCCCCUCCGCCAUGCCGGGAGUUCCGCGCUCCGCCGCGCCGGCUGCCGUCUCCCGCCGCGAUGGGGCUUUAUUCCGCCGCAGCCAGCCCGGCGGUGUGACAGCCCUGCUGCUGUCCCUGCGGCACCGGGGCGAGGCCGUGGCGGCGGCAGGCGAGGGCGGGCUCUGAGGGGAGGAAGGAGAGCAGCCGGCCUCCCCGCGGCCCCUCACCGCAGGCCGGGUGGGAUGUGAGACACCGCCCUCGCAGGAUGCUCCGGGGGCUGCGGGGAGGGGCUCAGCCCUGCCAGAGCCGUGGUUCUCAUUCACUUUUUCCCCCCCAGUACCGGUGGCUGGAUGCCAGAGGAGCCGCAGAACCCCACGUGGCGUCCGCAAUCUGUUGCAGAAGCUGCGUGCCACAGCAGCGUCGAGCAGAGCUUCGUGGAGCCCUCACGGGGUGCAGGAGCCGCUGGUCUCAUCAUGCAGUCUCAGAAUUUCCCUUCUCUGGUUACUGAUGCGCAGCAGGGCAAUUAUCACUUACCCCUGAAUUUGAUGGUCAGACUGUGGAACUUCUCGUUCAGUAUUUAUAUUUGGAAAGGCAGAGCUUGGAACUAGAGUAAGUGCUUUUUUUAGAACGCAUCUUCUUGUGGGCAGAGGGCAGUAGGAUUUAGUUGGUAUGUAGGAAGUGAGUCAUCUAACUCUAUUCAGUAUCUGAUGGUCAAAACCCCCUGCAGCUACUAAUUCUAUAGUGGGAAUUAACCUGAUCCAGCAGGUGAUGAGGUGUGGUAGUAAACAUAUGCAAGAGUUACAUAAUUUGCAAGAGUUACAAAUAUAACAUUUAAAAUGUAACAAAUUGCUUAAAAUUGCAUAUUCAUGAAUGAUGUUAUUUAUACGUAGUUGUCUGGUUGAAAUUAAGAGAAUGAAACAUAAAUGCCUCAGUUCGUGCUGUCUUAGAGGUUGCUUUCAGGCUGCUGCAUAUAAGACCAUCCCUUUUGUGGCUACAAGUUCCUUCCCCAAGUCUCACUAAUUUCCUUAUUACCUGGUUCACAAGACUACUUGGAUCUGCAGCUGAUGGCAGAACUCCUUCCAGAGGAGAAGCCCAAAGACCACAGGGUAAGAGCGCUAUCAUUUUUUCCAAGCUAUCCCCAUGACUUAGUCAUUGCUUUGUAAAUAUUGAUAUACAUAUAACAUGAAGGGGAAUACAGAACAUUAAUAUUCUUAAAGCUAAUGCCCUUGCUUGUGGCAUAGUGAUAGCGAGGAAUUGCGAAGCAAUUACAGGAAUGAACACAACCUCUUAAGAUAGUACACAAAAGAUAUGAAAGAUCUAGACAGCCAGUGGUUUGUACAUGAUGUGUACUGGUGGUGUAGGGAUUACACCAACUAUCUUUUGAACCAGUGAAUAUGAAAGGGAACCCAAACCUUUAUGGGUUAUAUGAAAAGGGCCUGCUUAUAUUUUUACCUAUAUUUAUUCUAUUAGAACAUGCAAGCCCUGAUAAACAUGGCAAACCGAGAAGUUUUUCUUUGCAUUUGUAACAUGGACAUGACCCAGCACUAAACAUAAGUAGCAGCUACACAAAUACAACAUUGAAGUUUUGUGCUUAAUAUACUUCUUUAUCUUCUAAGCAUUGCAAAAUCCUCAGCAGCUGUGGUAAUCCAAAAGAAAUGGUAACAUAGAUCAUCCAUGAGGUAUGGUCUAACUUGUGCAUCCAAUUUUCCAGUGUAAAAAAAGGGCACGCCCUUUCAUCCCUCCUCACAAAUACAGGACCCCAUGCGCAGUACCUCACCUUAGCCAUCCUCGUACCAGUUGAAAUGUUUUGUCAUGUGCACUCUUGCACCUACUCAUACUCCUCAUAUACCCAGCCAAAUACACUGCAACUCUAUGUUCCAGUUCUGUGAAUUCCAUUUAGGUUGUUCUCAUGCAGCAGAGGAACAAAACAGAUGGGAGCUCUUUGCAAACACGAGGCCUUUCUCUGGUCUCGAUUUCACUUGGACUUGAGCAUUUCACCAAGGAAGACAUGCACCUACAGGAGGUCAGAAUCCAACUCUUUCUGCAAGACUGGGAUUGAUUUUGUGCCUGCCACUCAGCGAUGUCAUUUCUGAUGUCUGCCAUCAUCAGCAACAGGAAAUCAAAUGAACCUGGUGGGCCCUGCAGUCACAAGGCACAGUCAUUAAUGAAAAUCCACUUCACUCCUACAGUUUUCAGACAGGUUGAUAUAAUUACUCUUGAAGGGGUAACUCAGUAAAAUACUGCUUCAUAUCAGUUGCCAAAGGUUAAUGGUCUGUUUUGCAAUCGACUUGCUCUGGAAACAAUAUUCAAAAGAAGCCAAAUGUUUUUGCAGACAGAGCCUAUAUUUACAAGAUGCUCAGCCCUUUUGUUACUUAACAUUUCUUUUGCUAUAUCUGC
Molecule: long non-coding RNA, 2434 nt
Organism: Tyto alba (common barn owl)
Lineage: Eukaryota; Metazoa; Chordata; Aves; Strigiformes; Tytonidae
Exons: 3
Source: RefSeq, a predicted model, not a curated record